AGUGAACGCUGGCGGUAGGCCUAACACAUGCAAGUCGAACGGCAGCACAGUAAGAGCUUGCUCUUACGGGUGGCGAGUGGCGGACGGGUGAGGAAUACAUCGGAAUCUACUUUUUCUUGGGGGAUAACGUAGGGAAACUUACGCUAAUACCGCAUACGACCUACGGGUGAAAGCAGGGGUUCUUCGGACCUUGCGCGAUUGAAUGAGCCGAUGGCGGAUUAGCUAGUUGGCGGGGUAAAGGCCCACCAAGGCGACGAUCCGUAGCUGGUCUGAGAGGAUGAUCAGCCACACUGGAACUGAGACACGGUCCAGACUCCUACGGGAGGCAGCAGUGGGGAAUAUUGGACAAUGGGCGCAAGCCUGAUCCAGCCAUACCGCGUGGGUGAAGAAGGCCUUCGGGUUGUAAAGCCCUUUUGUUGGGAAAGAAAAGCAGCAGGUUAAUACCCCGCUGUUCUGACGGUACCCAAAGAAUAAGCACCGGCUAACUUCGUG
RNAcentral lists this ribosomal RNA (492 nucleotides) under uncultured bacterium. RNAcentral's name for it is "partial 16S ribosomal RNA". It matches the Rfam family "Bacterial small subunit ribosomal RNA", at positions 29 to 507 of the family's 1533-position model. The record is from RNAcentral.